GAUGAACGCUGGCGGCGUGCCUAAUACAUGCAAGUCGAGCGAACAGACGAGGAGCUUGCUCCUCUGACGUUAGCGGCGGACGGGUGAGUAACACGUGGAUAACCUACCUAUAAGACUGGGAUAACUUCGGGAAACCGGAGCUAAUACCGGAUAAUAUAUUGAACCGCAUGGUUCAAUAGUGAAAGACGGUUUUGCUGUCACUUAUAGAUGGAUCCGCGCCGCAUUAGCUAGCUGGUAAGGUAACGGCUUACCAAGGCAACGAUGCGUAGCCGACCUGAGAGGGUGAUCGGCCAAACAGGAAAUGAGAAACGGGCCAGACUCCUACGGGAGGCAGGAGUAGGGAAUUCUCCGCAAUGGGCGAAAGGCUGAAGGAGCAACGCCGGGGGAGGGAAGAAGGUCUUCGGAACGGAAAACUCUGGUAUUAGGGAAAAACAAAUGUGUAAGUAACUAUGCACGUCUUGACGGUACCUAAUCAGAAAGCCAAGGCUAACUAAG
Molecule: ribosomal RNA, 495 nt
Filed under: uncultured bacterium
Lineage: Bacteria
Description: partial 16S ribosomal RNA
Rfam family: Bacterial small subunit ribosomal RNA
Source: RNAcentral